Long non-coding RNA from Bubalus bubalis (water buffalo), 1678 nucleotides. RefSeq lists it as uncharacterized. NCBI's taxonomy places the organism in Eukaryota, Metazoa, Chordata, Mammalia, Artiodactyla, Bovidae. The transcript has 3 exons. The record is from RefSeq and is a predicted model, not a curated record.
UUGGGCAGGAGGUGGUGUUGCAGCAGAAUUGAGGAAGUGAUGGGGGAGGCGGCUAGGUUUAAUGAGAAAUGAAAUGUCAGAUCUAGGAAUGCCUGGCUUCUCCCCCAUGGGCAUGGCCAACCUGCAUGGCUGGCCCUCUUGUCUCUGCUGUUUUCUAUCUUGAGGUUUCUUGGGAAAGCAUGUUUCUUUUAUUAUAUAAUAGUUUCCGGGGAGAAGGUGGGACAGAGUGGAUGUCACGUGAAGAUACAGCAAAUGGGAACUGGACUUCUGGCCGGGUCACCACAAGUUGAUGUAGAGGACAUGGUGCCCAAGCUUCCUUCCAGCUCUGUGCCUGGUGUGUCCUAAGCACUCAAAGAAACUGUGUUAUCGAGCAUAUUGAGCUAAAUCUCCAGCCGCUCCAAGGACAGGUGCGGGCUGUUUCCUGAAGAGGCGGAGCAAUCCCGCCCAGGUGAGCCGCCAUAUUUCUCCUGUACAUCUGAGUCCGGGGAGCGGGUUUACUUGCAGGCAGGUGACACCGGAGCUCUGAUUGCCUUUGGUCUCUCAUGUGAUCCUGACUCCUGUGGCACCUUCCUGUAACUUCCUGCAGCCAAGUCAACCUACAGGGCUGUGUUAGAACGUUCUCCCUUUGUUCCGGAUCUUCUCAACGCCACCCAUCCGGGGAACACACACCGUGCAUCACGUCCAGAGCCUUCCGGGAUGUUCUGGGUGUUGUGAAGGGGCCCUGGUGGGCGCUGAGGGACACUCGUCUCAUCUCAUGGACUUGGGCCUUUCGUCAGGCUGCCACCCUCUUCUUGCCUUGGCUCUUCUCAAACUCUCCCCCUUGAGGACCCUUCCCUUCCUCUCCCAGACCCUCCCCAGCCACUCAUCCUGCACCAGGCUCGUCUCUCUCUUUGCUGAGGGUCCAGCUUGGGCUGCAUGAAUCUUAGGGAGCUUGUCCCCUCUUAUGUUCUUCCCGCUGCUCCUCACUGCAGCCCCAUCAGCCGUUGAGGGGAGUCAGGAGGUUGGAGGGGCCAGGCCAUAGUUAAUAGCAGGUGAGGGCCAGUCUGAAGGUCAGGGUGAUGCCAGUUUAUCUGGGAACAGCCCUUGAAGAUCUGUGGACCCACAGCCUCUCACUUUAUCAUCUGGCGACAGGAAGCCAUGGUCCUCGGGCUUGGGGACUUGGUUUCAAUCAGAAGGUUGGAGACUACUGUCCUCAGACAGCUCUGGGCUAUCAUAACAUCACAUAUGAUCUCCAAGCUAUCGAUCCUCAGCUGGUAUUUCCCCAAACCUCCCUGAGAUGUGCUUGGGUGAUGAAACAAUGGACUGGGUCAAGAACAUGCAACAGAGGCCUCUCCACUUGCACCAAAAAUCCAUUUUCUCUCCCAGGGAACAUGGCUGGCCCACUUUUACCAGCAUCCCAUGUAUUUAAAUGUAGCAAACCACUGAGUUCCAAGCAGGGGAAUCUGCACAAAAGGACCAACACAUUAACAGAGCACCAGCUAGAAGAAAACAGCAAGGAGGCUUGGGUGAUGGCAGCCUUAGAAAUGGAAGAUACCCAGGCCCUGAAUUACACUGAGGAGGAGAGUCACCAACAACGAGACCGGACUUCCAGCCAUAGCAGCAAGAAAUAAGCUUGUUCCAAUCUUACUGUAUAGCACAGGGAACUCUGCUCAGUGUUAUGUGGCAGCCUGGAUGGUGG